This 800-nucleotide ribosomal RNA is filed under the name uncultured bacterium. RNAcentral describes it as "bacterial SSU rRNA". It matches the Rfam family "Bacterial small subunit ribosomal RNA", at positions 9 to 799 of the family's 1533-position model. The record is from RNAcentral.
GAGUUUGAUCAUGGCUCAGGACGAACGCUGGCGGCGUGGAUUAGGCAUGCAAGUCGAACGGUAUCGGUUCCUUCGGGGAUCGAGAGAGUGGCGAACGGGUGAGUAACACGUAGGUUAUCUGCCCUCGAGAUCGGGACAACCCAGGGAAACUUGGGCUAAUACCGGAUGCGUGCUACUGUAGUGGUAGCAUAAAAGGUGGCAUUUGCUGCCGCUUGAGGAUGAGCCUGCGUCCUAUUAGUUAGUUGGUGAGGUAAUGGCUUACCAAGGCGAUGAUAGGUAGGCGGCCUUAACGGGUGGUCGCCCACACUGGGAUUGAGAUACGGCCCAGACUCCUACGGGAGGCAGCAGUCGAGAAUAGUCUACAAUGGUCGAAAGACUGAUAGUGCGACGCCGCGUGAACGAAGACUCCUUUCGGGGUGUAAAGUUCUUUUAUAUGUGAGCAGUGGAUGUUACAUUAAUAGUGUGAUAUCAGGGAUAUUAGCAUAUGAAUAAGCAACGGCUAACUCCGUGCCAGCAGCCGCGGUAACACGGGGGUUGCGAGCGUUGUCCGGAAUUACUAGGCGUAAAGGGCAGGUAGGCGGAGAUGUAAGUUUGAUGUUAAAGGUACUGGCUCACCCAGUGUACGGCAUCAGAUACUGCAUUUCUUGAAUACGGUUGGGGAAGACAGAAUUCCUGGUGUAGCGGUGGAAUGCGCAGAGAUCAGAAGAAUACCGAAGCGAAGGCAGUCUUCUAGCCGGUUAUUGACGCUAAACUGCGAAGGUGUGGGUAUCAAACAGGAUUAGAUACCCUGGUAGUCCACA